RNAcentral lists this ribosomal RNA (345 nucleotides) under uncultured bacterium. Its description in RNAcentral is "bacterial SSU rRNA". It matches the Rfam family "Bacterial small subunit ribosomal RNA", at positions 29 to 363 of the family's 1533-position model. The record is from RNAcentral.
AGCGAACGUUAGCGGCGCGCCUAACACAUGCAAGUCGCACGAGAAAGGGGGCAACCCCCGGUACAGUGGCGCACGGGUGAGUAACACGUGGAUUACCUGGCCCUGGAGUGGUGGAUAACCUGCCGAAAGGUGGGCUAAUACAGCAUGAGACCACGCGGUUUCGAUCGUGAGGUCAACGCGGGCUUCUGUUCACAAGCUCGCGCUCUAGGAUGGGUCCGCGGCCCAUCAGCUAGUGUAGGGUAACGGCCUACCAAGGCAACGACGGGUAGCUGGUCUGAGAGGAUGGCCAGCCACACUGGAACUGAGACACGGUCCAGACUCCUACGGGAGGCAGCAGUGGGAAUC